GGGACAUUAGUAAACUAAUUACAUAGCCUUGUCAAGGCUAAAUCACAGGUGAAAACCCUGUACGUCCCG
Molecule: transfer RNA, 69 nt
Filed under: Thalassarche chlororhynchos (Atlantic yellow-nosed albatross)
Lineage: Eukaryota; Metazoa; Chordata; Aves; Procellariiformes; Diomedeidae
Description: tRNA-Asp
Rfam family: tRNA
About the family: Transfer RNA (tRNA) molecules are approximately 80 nucleotides in length.
Source: RNAcentral